RNAcentral lists this unclassified non-coding RNA (393 nucleotides) under uncultured Alteromonadaceae bacterium. RNAcentral describes it as "partial 16S-23S ribosomal RNA intergenic spacer". The stretch from base 271 to 393 matches the Rfam family "Bacterial large subunit ribosomal RNA", at positions 1 to 122 of the family's 2925-position model. Lineage: Bacteria; Pseudomonadati; Pseudomonadota; Gammaproteobacteria; Alteromonadales; Alteromonadaceae. The record is from RNAcentral.
CCUCCUUACUAUAUACGAUACUGGUGACCUUGUAUUAAGUAGUGUCUACACAAAUUGUUUUGUUAUAAAUGAAAAGAACGCGAGUGCUAAUGCAUAACGUGGGUUAUGCAUUAGCGUUUGCUAAAACUUGUUCUUUAACAAUAUGGAAAGCUGAUAAAAAAGUAAUCAAAACUGAGAAGAGUAUUUCAAGUACUUUACUCUACCUGAUAACUGGCGAAAAAAAAUUAGCGAAGUCAUUGACCGCAAUCUAAAGGUUAUUUUGGGUUGUAUGGUUAAGUGACUAAGCGUAUACGGUGGAUGCCUUGGCAGUUAGAGGCGAUGAAGGACGUGUAAGUCUGCGAAAAGCUGUGGUGAGCUGACAAAAUGCGUUUGAACCACAGAUUUCCGAAUGGA